GUUAAGGUGAAACCACUGGGGCAGUCUAGGGGAAAAGAGGAAAGUUUGUUCCAGAAAGAACUGUCUAA
Sciurus vulgaris (Eurasian red squirrel) is the source of this 68-nucleotide small nucleolar RNA. Its record names the gene SNORD22. It matches the Rfam family "Small nucleolar RNA SNORD22". Rfam says of the family: U22 is a member of the C/D class of snoRNA which contain the C (UGAUGA) and D (CUGA) box motifs. U22 is encoded within the U22 snoRNA host gene (UHG) in mammals and has also been identified in Xenopus. The record is from Ensembl. NCBI's taxonomy places the organism in Eukaryota, Metazoa, Chordata, Mammalia, Rodentia, Sciuridae.